This 459-nucleotide ribosomal RNA is filed under the name uncultured bacterium. Its description in RNAcentral is "partial 16S ribosomal RNA". It matches the Rfam family "Bacterial small subunit ribosomal RNA", at positions 338 to 795 of the family's 1533-position model. The record is from RNAcentral.
CCUACGGGUGGCAGCAGUGAGGAAUAUUGGUCAAUGGGCGGGAGCCUGAACCAGCCAAGUCGCGUGAGGGACGACGGUCCUAUGGAUUGUAAACCUCUUUUGUCGGGGAACAAAGGCGCCCACGGGUGGGCGGAUGAGUGUACCCGAAGAAAAAGCAUCGGCUAACUCCGUGCCAGCAGCCGCGGUAAUACGGAGGAUGCGAGCGUUAUCCGGAUUUAUUGGGUUUAAAGGGUGCGUAGGCGGACAGUCAAGUCAGCGGUAAAAAUGCGGUGCUCAACGCCGUACAGCCGUUGAAACUGGCAGUCUUGAGUGGGCGAGAAGUAUGCGGAAUGCGUGGUGUAGCGGUGAAAUGCGUAGAUAUUAGGAGGAACACCAGUGGCGAAGGCGGCUUACUGGACUGUAACUGACGUUGAGGCUCGAAAGCGUGGGGAGCAAACAGGAUUAGAUACCCGGGUAGUC